RNAcentral lists this transfer RNA (69 nucleotides) under Oxalis macrocarpa. RNAcentral describes it as "partial tRNA-Leu". Lineage: Eukaryota; Viridiplantae; Streptophyta; Magnoliopsida; Oxalidales; Oxalidaceae. The record is from RNAcentral.
UGGAUUGAGCCUUGGUAUGGAAAAUCCGUCGACUUUAUAAAUCGUGAGGGUUCAAGCCCCUCUAUCCCC